RNAcentral lists this non-coding RNA (1436 nucleotides) under Pongo abelii (Sumatran orangutan). Lineage: Eukaryota; Metazoa; Chordata; Mammalia; Primates; Hominidae. The record is from RNAcentral.
CGCGGCCCCGCGCGGCGCGGACGGCGGGCAGCACCGUGCCUGGGCCCCCUCCUGCUCCGGUUCCAGAAUGACGCUCGGCCCACGGACAGAGCCUGCCCAGUCACCCUCGGCUGCUAUUGAUCCCGAGGAUGAUGGCCGCCCCUGGCCACUUCCCUCCUCUCUCUUCGGCUCCAGAACAGCCCAAGGAGCAGAAAAGAGUGAUAAGGCCGUGAAAGGAGGCGCCUGGGACGUAGCCAGCUCUAGGAGGUUACCCCAUGCGGAGUACACACCCUGCUACACCCAUCCCGGAGGAGGGAGGAAAUAGCCAGCCCGGAGCACCCCUGGACUCUGCCGGUCUCAGAGGCCACGCAAACUCCGCCCAGACUCGGUGAGGCCGCGGUAAUGCCACGCAGGGAACUGCGUGGAUAAGGUCGCUCGGAUCUGAGCGCCAAGGUCUCCUGCCUCUCCUUCCCGUCUAGUUCUCUCCGGACUCAAAUUGCCUUAAUCUCACCCAUCACUGUCUCAUGGAAGUGAUCUACUCGUGUGCAGUACUUUACAGCUUGUAUCACUGUCUCCCCUGAACCGUAUAGCAAGCGGGUGGUGGAGGGUGGAAGAGAAGGGUACUAUCUCCACUUUCCCGGCCAGGAAGCCCAAUUUAGGAGGCUUGUCCGAGAUCCCUAGGUCAGCGCACUAUUUAAGGUGAGAAGUUGGGUGGGGAGCUUGGCACCUUGCUCCAGUGUGCCCUUUGCGCCUGGCCAUGUUUUAAACCAAGGGGGGCUUGGGCUGGUUAAGGGGGAGCAGGGACCGCAGGGCCAGGAAAGGGCAGCAUCCGGCAGGCCGGGGCGUCACGGUGUGCGCCUGGCCUGGCUAAACAACUCCGGCUUCCCACGAGCGCUGGAGGGACCCUGGGCAUGGGGCAGGGGCGUGGGGGGGGGGCAGGGAGCGGGUGGAACAGCAAGGUCAAGCGUGGAGAUCCCAGUUGCGAGUCAGCUCCGCGCCGCGGAGCAAAGACAGGACGUGGAUAAUCUUGGGAGGGAGACGCUGAGCUGAAGAACAGAAAAGAGAGAUAGAGGCAGAAGUGAGGAGAGAGGGACAGGAAAAGAAAAUAAAGGCAGAAAACCAGAGAAAAGAUGAGACGGAGUGCGGAAAAGCAGGCGGGGAUAAAGGAAGGAAAGAUCUGUCGGGGAAAUACGGGGAGAAGUGGAGGAAAAGAGAAAAGAGACCCAGAGAGAGACCCAGCCACGAAGAAGGCCGCGGGUCCCGGCGCGGAGCCGACGGCCCUGCAGGCACGGAGGGGGCGUCCCGCGGGUCUGGGGGUGUACGGCUUUGGGACAGGCGAGUGCGUGCUGAGAGAAGGAGGCAGCGUGUUUGGUGGGAGACUCUGCGCCCGUGGAAAAGCGGCUCUGGGCAGGAAUCCAACAAAUAAAUAAAACGUCUAAGACGGCGUGACAACAAUG